CCUAUGCACCCAGCCUCUCCCCGAUCCGUCAGCCCCUGGCCACCCAGACUGCUUCUCAGUCCCUAUGGUUUGGCCUUUUCCACAAUGGCCUAAGAAUGGGAAUCCUACUUUGGUAGCUUAUUGGGUCUGGCUAGGGAGGACCAGCCUUGUUCUCCCCAUUCCCGUGUUGAAGGCCAUCCCCGAAGGCUCCGUGUGUCUGCCCAUCUUCUCCCCCAUUCCCCUAAGGCCACAGCCCCUAUGGUCCUCAUGCCUUUCCCCCUUCCCCAUGGGGACAGUGAGGGCUGUAGCUCUAGGGAAGUGGGGGAGAACAGGGGCAGUUGGGCCCCCAGAGACCUGCUGGACAACAUCCCUGAGGCUGGGCCAGGUGUCUCCUCACCCUGUGGCCACAACCCUUGGAUCUCACUGGGGUUGUCUCCUGGUAGACAGGGCCAGACCCUCAGGCUGCCCCGCUCCUUUUGUGCUCACUUGCCGACAGAACUGCUGAGAGCCCAGGGGCCUGACCUAGCCCCCUCUCCAUUCCCACCCACUCCCUAGAUGGGCCCCACACCUCUGGCCUAACAACAACCUCAGGCUGGACCUGCAGGGGAGCCAGGGAGGAGUUCUGACCC
Molecule: long non-coding RNA, 608 nt
Filed under: Homo sapiens (human)
Lineage: Eukaryota; Metazoa; Chordata; Mammalia; Primates; Hominidae
Description: non-protein coding lnc-CRLF3-8:2
Source: RNAcentral